Molecule: long non-coding RNA, 721 nt
Organism: Bombyx mori (domestic silkworm)
Lineage: Eukaryota; Metazoa; Arthropoda; Insecta; Lepidoptera; Bombycidae
Exons: 4
Source: RefSeq, a predicted model, not a curated record
CAUUGACGGAAGCCUCCGAGAUGAUGUCACAAGGACAACCAGCCAGUCUAAAAUACAAACCAAAAAGUUUGGGUAAAAAAAAAGUAUAAUUAAAAAAAAAAUGUAUGUUUUCACUAAUAAACAGAAAUCAAUCGAUCGACGGGCUCCGCGACGAGCCCAGGGCGGGCGCUUUGCUAAAAACAAUUUUGGUCGUCAACGCCAAAGGUGGAAUCGAAGGAAAGAAAAAAGAAAAAAAUAUAUGGAAAAAUAUACAAAAGAAUUACACACAUGGCGGUGAAAAUUUGGUUUAGUUUUCAAAUUCACUCGGAUUUCCGACGAGCGAACGACCCACACAAGUACCUGAAUUGUAAAACUCUUGAAAGUCAGAACAAAGCACGCUAACAACUACACUUCAGACAAGGGAGGUCCCUUCGUUGGCAUCAAGAAUUUAACAAUGGACAGUAACAAAACAUGAAGCUAAUCUUUAUUCAAAAAUUAUCGGCAUUGACUGGCCAUUAUGGAUGGUUUAUAUUAACGACGGCUGGGCCAUCUGCGGUAGUAGGUUAUAGAUUAAAUAAUUAAAAACAUUAAGCAGAAUGUACCUGCACAAAUACCCAUAAAAUUUUAUGUAUUUGGAAAACAAUAUCUUUCCAGUAAGAGAACAUUAUUAAUAUGAAUAUGUAAAAUUAGAAAAUGAACGAUUAAAAUUACUAUAUCUGUUUUGUGUAAUUUUUUCAAAACA